UCGCUUUGGCAGCGCAUAUACUAAAAUUGGAAUGAUACAGAGAAGAUUAGCAUGGCCCCUGCACAAGGAUGACAUGCAAAUUUGUGAAGCAUUCCAUAUUUUU
RNAcentral lists this small nuclear RNA (103 nucleotides) under Delphinapterus leucas (beluga whale). The record is from RNAcentral. Lineage: Eukaryota; Metazoa; Chordata; Mammalia; Artiodactyla; Monodontidae.